RNAcentral lists this transfer RNA (64 nucleotides) under Ciidae sp. GENSP01. RNAcentral describes it as "tRNA-Pro". Lineage: Eukaryota; Metazoa; Arthropoda; Insecta; Coleoptera; Ciidae. The record is from RNAcentral.
CAGAAUUUAGUUUAAGAAAAAUUUUAAUUUUGGAGAUUAAAGAUGACUAAUUUGUUUAUUCUGA